RNAcentral lists this unclassified non-coding RNA (253 nucleotides) under Hevea brasiliensis (rubber tree). Lineage: Eukaryota; Viridiplantae; Streptophyta; Magnoliopsida; Malpighiales; Euphorbiaceae. The record is from RNAcentral.
AUAAUGUCAAUAAUCUAAUUUAAUUUGUUGGAAGCUUUGUUGAAAAAGUCAAUGUUUUGGUCUCUAUUUGAUCCAUUUUUUAUUUCUCUUGGAGCGUGGGGUGAUAAAAGAUUGAUUAUAUUUUUCUAUUUUGUAGUCUUCUUGAAAGGUGAUGCUGGUUUUGCAUGUAAGAAUAGCCAAACGGAAUUGAAUAAAAGAUGUUAUUGUGCAUGUUAAUUUCUUUUGUAGUAUGCAUCGAGGUUUUAAUUUUUAG